Molecule: ribosomal RNA, 1344 nt
Filed under: metagenome
Description: bacterial LSU rRNA
Rfam family: Bacterial large subunit ribosomal RNA
Source: RNAcentral
GCGAUCCUAUGCUGUCGAGAAAAGCCUCUAGUGAGUUGGUACACGGCCCGUACCCCAAACCGACACAGGUGGUCAGGUAGAGAAUACUAAGGCGAUCGAGUGAACUGUGGUGAAGGAACUCGGCAAAAUGCCCCCGUAACUUCGGGAGAAGGGGGGCCUCUGCCGGUGAACGCCCUUGCGGUGGGAGCUGGUGGGGGUCGCAGAGACCAGAGAGAAGCGACUGUUUAUUAAAAACACAGGUCCGUGCGAAGUCGUAAGACGAUGUAUACGGACUGACGCCUGCCCGGUGCUGGAAGGUUAAGAGGACCGGUUAAUCCUUCGGGGUGAAGCUGAGAAUUUAAGCCCCAGUAAACGGCGGUGGUAACUAUAACCAUCCUAAGGUAGCGAAAUUCCUUGUCGGGUAAGUUCCGACCUGCACGAAUGGCGUAACGACUUCUCUGCUGUCUCCACCACAGGCUCGGCGAAAUUGCAUUACGAGUAAAGAUGCUCGUUACGCGCGGCAGGACGAAAAGACCCCGGGACCUUCACUAUAGCUUGGUAUUGGUGUUCGGUGCGGUUUGUGUAGGAUAGGUGGGAGACUGUGAAGCGGGCACGCUAGUGUCGGUGGAGUCGUUGUUGAAAUACCACUCUGAUCGUAUUGGGCUUCUAACCUCGGACCAUGUAUCUGGUUCAGGGACAGUGCCUGGUGGGUAGUUCAACUGGGGCGGUUGCCUCCUAAAGAGUAACGGAGGCGCCCAAAGGUUCCCUCAGCCUGGUUGGCAAUCAGGUGUUGAGUGUAGGUGCACAAGGGAGCUUGACUGUGAGACGGACGUGUCGAGCAGGGACGAAAGUCGGGACUAGUGAUCCGGCACCGGCAAGUGGAAGCGGUGUCGCUCAACGGAUAAAAGGUACCCCGGGGAUAACAGGCUGAUCUUCCCCAAGAGUCCAUAUCGACGGGAUGGUUUGGCACCUCGAUGUCGGCUCGUCGCAUCCUGGGGCUGGAGUAGGUCCCAAGGGUUGGGCUGUUCGCCCAUUAAAGCGGCACGCGAGCUGGGUUUAGAACGUCGUGAGACAGUUCGGUCUCUAUCCGCCGCGCGCGUUAGAAACUUGAGGAAUCCUGUCCCUAGUACGAGGGGACCGGGACGGACGAACCUCUGGUGUGCCAGUUGUUCCGCCAGGAGCAUGGCUGGUUGGCUACGUUCGGAAGGGAUAACCGCUGAAAGCAUCUAAGCGGGAAGCCUGUUCCAAGAUGAGGUUUCUCACCCACUUCGGUGGGGUAAGGCCCCCUACAGACCAUGGGGUUGAUAGGCUGGAACUGGAAGCCCUGUAAGGGGUGGAGGUGACCGGUACUAAUCGGCCGAGGGU